Molecule: ribosomal RNA, 494 nt
Filed under: uncultured bacterium
Lineage: Bacteria
Description: partial 16S ribosomal RNA
Rfam family: Bacterial small subunit ribosomal RNA
Source: RNAcentral
GACGAACGCUGGCGGCGUGCUUAACACAUGCAAGUCGAACGGUGAAGCGCCUUCCUUUUUGGUGGGUGUGGAUGAGUGGCGAACGGGUGAGUAACACGUGAGUAACCUGCCCCCUUCUUCUGGAUAACCGCAUGAAAGUGUGGCUAAUACGGGAUAUUCUGGGUCUGUCGCAUGAUGGGUCUGGGAAAGAUAUUGUUUCGGUGGGGGAUGGGCUCGCGGCCUAUCAGCUUGUUGGUGGGGUGAUGGCCUACCAAGGCGGUGACGGGUAGCCGGCCUGAGAGGGUGGACGGUCACACUGGGACUGAGGCACGGCCCAGACUACUACGGGAGGCAGCAGUGGGGAAUAUUGCACAAUGGGCGCAAGCCUGAUGCAGCGACGCCGCGUGAGGGAUGGAGGCCUUCGGGUUGUGAACCUCUUUCGCCAGUGAAGCAGGCCUGCCUCGUUUGUGGGUGGGUUGACGGUAGCUGGAUAAGAAGCGCCGGCUAACUACGUG